RNAcentral lists this ribosomal RNA (460 nucleotides) under uncultured bacterium. RNAcentral describes it as "partial 16S ribosomal RNA". It matches the Rfam family "Bacterial small subunit ribosomal RNA", at positions 338 to 795 of the family's 1533-position model. The record is from RNAcentral.
CCUACGGGAGGCAGCAGUGAGGAAUAUUGGUCAAUGGGCGCGAGCCUGAACCAGCCAAGUAGCGUGAAGGAUGACUGCCCUAUGGGUUGUAAACUUCUUUUAUAAAGGAAUAAAGUGCGGCACGUGUGCCUUUUUGUAUGUACCUUAUGAAUAAGGAUCGGCUAACUCCGUGCCAGCAGCCGCGGUAAUACGGAGGAUCCGAGCGUUAUCCGGAUUUAUUGGGUUUAAAGGGAGCGUAGGUGGGUUGUUAAGUCAGUUGUGAAAGUUUGCGGCUCAAACGUAAAAUUGCAGUUGAUACUGGCAGUAUUGAGUACAGUAGAGGUAGGCGGAAUUCGUGGUGUAGCGGUGAAAUGCUUAGAUAUCACGAAGAACUCCGAUUGCGAAGGCAGCUUACUAGACUGCCACUGACAUUGAUGCUCGAAAGUGUGGGUAUCAAACAGGAUUAGAUACCCGAGUAGUC